RNAcentral lists this ribosomal RNA (655 nucleotides) under uncultured archaeon. RNAcentral's name for it is "bacterial SSU rRNA". It matches the Rfam family "Archaeal small subunit ribosomal RNA", at positions 163 to 816 of the family's 1478-position model. The record is from RNAcentral.
UAGGGCACUGGAAGGUCCCUAAACCGAAAGGGGCUCUGCCCGCCCGAGGAUGGGCCGGCGGCCGAUUAGGUAGUUGGUGGGGUAACGGCCCACCAAGCCCAUAAUCGGUACGGGCAGUGAGAGCUGGAGCCCGGAGAUGGACACUGAGACACGGGUCCAGGCCCUACGGGGCGCAGCAGGCGCGAAACCUCCGCAAUGCUCGAAAGAGCGACGGGGGGACCCCAAGUGCCGUGGUACAACCACGGCUUUUCCGGAGUGUAAGAAGCUCCGGGAAUAAGGGCUGGGCAAGGCCGGUGGCAGCCGCCGCGGUAAUACCGGCGGCCCGAGUGGUGGCCACUAUUAUUGGGCCUAAAGCGUCCGUAGCCGGGCUUGUAAGUCCCUGGCGAAAUCCCACGGCUCAACCGUGGGGCUUGCUGGGGAUACUGCAAGCCUUGGGACCGGGAGAGGCCGGGGGUACUCCUGGGGUAGGGGUGAAAUCCUAUAAUCCCAGGAGGACCGCCAGUGGCGAAGGCGCCCGGCUGGAACGGGUCCGACGGUGAGGGACGAAGGCCAGGGGAGCAAACCGGAUUAGAUACCCGGGUAGUCCUGGCUGUAAAGGAUGCGGGCUAGGUGUUGCUUGGACCUCGAGUCCAAGCAGUGCCGCAGGGAAGCCGUU